UACGAAGGGGGCUAGCGUUGCUCGGAAUUACUGGGCGUAAAGGGCGCGUAGGCGGCACUGUUAGUCAGGCGUGAAAGUCCUGGGCUCAACCUGGGAACUGCGCUUGAUACGGCAGAGCUAGAGGAUGGAAGAGGCUCGCGGAAUUCCCAGUGUAGAGGUGAAAUUCGUAGAUAUUGGGAAGAACACCGGUGGCGAAGGCGGCGAGCUGGUCCAUUACUG
This 219-nucleotide ribosomal RNA is filed under the name uncultured bacterium. RNAcentral's name for it is "partial 16S ribosomal RNA". It matches the Rfam family "Bacterial small subunit ribosomal RNA", at positions 524 to 742 of the family's 1533-position model. The record is from RNAcentral.